UAUUCAUAAAAAGUAGCGUUCCUGUUAGAUGGUUAGCCUGUGGAUAGAUUGGACAAUUAAUUAGACAUCAAUGGGAGAGAAGUGGUUGGCGAUCAAUGGAUUGCGUCCUUUUCCCUUGUUUGGUUCUCUCUCUCUCUCUCGCUCUCUCUCUGCUCACUUCGAAUAUGAAAUCUGCUGAGCCAAGUCAUGCAUAGAAGUCCCUAAAGCUAGCAAGUACAAAAUCUGAACACAAAGAUGUUUUUCAUGGACGGACCAAGAAGCAGCAUUGCUAAUUUAUUGAUUGGCCUAUCUGGAUACGUCUUCAUCAACAUAUGGUUUCUAACAAGAUGUCAUGAAGUAUUGCUUCUUUUGCCAAUCAACUCACCCAUGCUUUAUGCCAAUUGACGAGACAGUUUCUUUCAUGUUUGCUAUAAAGUGAUUCGAUUAGUAUUCAUUCUCAUGAUAAAUUUUAGUGGUUCAGAUGAUGGUGCUUUUAGCCUUUUUUAGGCCAGGUUUUGAAAAGUUAAGGCAGGCAGAGGCUUGGUCAGUGUUAUUGGGUUUUAUCUUAUGUUUCUAUGAAAACACAUUAACUAUUUAUCCAUCUGCAGGCUUCUUUUGUCCUUUGUCGAGUGUUCUUCAAAUCUUGUAGUGGAAAUAGCAUAUUGGAUAAUGGCUUAAGUUCUUGUGCUGAGGAAGCUGUUUCUGCAGUGCGUCACAUUGGCAUUCAGCACAAUGGAUUCCUUACACCUGAUAUUCUUGAAGUUAAAAUGCAUGAGGAGAAUUCUGUUUCUGGUGCCAGCAUUCUGCAUCAGUUAGGCAUGCAGCCUCGGGAGCUGAAGAGCUCGUCUGUACUUCCAGGAAGUAGUGCAAAGAUUUUUGAAGGUCUGACUGACCAGCAAGCACUUUCCAUUUUAGAGGAAGAUUACGUUGAGUUGGACGAUCUUGUGCAGUAACUAUUCAUCAGAGACUUUGAAGCAGUUGAUUAUAAAGAUAUAUGAAUAUUCAUUGGAAUGCUCUGGCUGUUACUGGAAAUUACUGUUUCAGGAUUGAAUUUAGAUACUCAACAACAGAUGCGAAGGGAUAAAUCUUAAACAACCUUUUGUGAAAUUUUUAAACAAUAUUGAGAUAUGUUAUGGAAGGAUGACUUGGCCUUAUAAGAUUUGUUCUCAUGCCUGAUAAAAGGCAAUUUAUCCCAACAGCACACACAGAGAUUAUUAUGAUUGACAAUGGUAAAUUAAGUUAUAUGAGUGUCAGCUGCUUCACCUGACUUGAUAAAGCUGCAGUUGAUGCAUUGAUGGUAGAGGUUCUUCUUCCUCAUUUACAUAUAAUUUCCACCACC
Molecule: long non-coding RNA, 1318 nt
Organism: Juglans microcarpa x Juglans regia
Lineage: Eukaryota; Viridiplantae; Streptophyta; Magnoliopsida; Fagales; Juglandaceae
Exons: 3
Source: RefSeq, a predicted model, not a curated record